Ornithorhynchus anatinus (platypus) is the source of this 474-nucleotide long non-coding RNA. RefSeq lists it as uncharacterized. Lineage: Eukaryota; Metazoa; Chordata; Mammalia; Monotremata; Ornithorhynchidae. The transcript is spliced from 3 exons. The record is from RefSeq and is a predicted model, not a curated record.
CAAUGUUCUCGUGACGGAAGCAAGCCUGGAUUUCAACGUCGGAUGGCUUAAACUGAUCCACUGGAAUCUAGAACAUAAAGGGAGAACCAACUGCUGAAGGGAAGUUGAGGUCCCCUUCCCAAGCGAUGGUCUCAGGAAAGAAGACAGGAUACCCCGAGACGAGACUUCAAACGACUCGUCCCAAAAGCGGACCCGGGCAUCUUGGGCGCUUUGCACGGCUCAGUGGAAAGAGCACGAAGUCUGGGAGUCCGCGGAUCUGGGUUCCAAUGCUGCCCCCGCUACUGAACUGCUUGGACGAGUGACUGCGCUUCUCUGGGCCUCCGUUUCUUCAUCUGUACAAUGGGGUUCUAACUAGCCGUCCUCCCCCCACCCACCGCGGCUCAUCUGAAUCUGUGCCGGGCACGGAGGAGGCAUUUAAUAAAUAGCACAAGGGUGGCGUUGAGGUUGCUUCUUGCUUCCUAGCCCCCUCCACUG